This 115-nucleotide non-coding RNA is filed under the name Saimiri boliviensis boliviensis (Bolivian squirrel monkey). The record is from RNAcentral. Lineage: Eukaryota; Metazoa; Chordata; Mammalia; Primates; Cebidae.
GUGUUGUAUGAAUGGAGAGAAGGUUAUCACUUCCCUUGACAAAGAUGGAAGAGGCCCUCGGGCCUGACAACACACAUAUGGUUUAAAAAUCUUAUAUUUAAAAUUAUUUUUUUUU